GACGAACGCUGGCGGCGUGCUUAACACAUGCAAGUCGAACGGAAAGGCCCUGCUUUUGUGGGGUGCUCGAGUGGCGAACGGGUGAGUAACACGUGAGUAACCUGCCCUUGACUUUGGGAUAACUUCAGGAAACUGGGGCUAAUACCGGAUAGGAGCUCCUGCUGCAUGGUGGGGGUUGGAAAGUUUCGGCGGUGGGGGAUGGACUCGCGGGUUAUCAGCUGGCUGGUGGGGUAGUGGCUUACCAGGGCUUUGACGGGUAGCCGGCCUGAGAGGGUGACCGGCCACAUUGGGACUGCGAUACGGCCCAGACUCCUACGGGAGGCAGCAGUGGGGAAUAUUGCACAAUGGGCGGAAGCCUGAUGCAGCAACGCCGCGUGCGGGAUGCCGGCCUUCGGGUUGUAAACCGCUUUCGACUGUGACGAAGCGUGAGUGACGGUAAUGGGUCAAGAAGCACCGGCUAACUACGUG
This 468-nucleotide ribosomal RNA is filed under the name uncultured bacterium. RNAcentral's name for it is "partial 16S ribosomal RNA". It matches the Rfam family "Bacterial small subunit ribosomal RNA", at positions 28 to 507 of the family's 1533-position model. The record is from RNAcentral.